UGGAGGUUGUGCCCUUGAGGCGUGGCUUCCGGAGCUAACGCGUUAAGUCGACCGCCUGGGGAGUACGGCCGCAAGGUUAAAACUCAAAUGAAUUGACGGGGGCCCGCACAAGCGGUGGAGCAUGUGGUUUAAUUCGAUGCAACGCGAAGAACCUUACCUGGUCUUGACAUCCACGGAAGUUUUCAGAGAUGAGAAUGUGCCUUCGGGAACCGUGAGACAGGUGCUGCAUGGCUGUCGUCAGCUCGUGUUGUGAAAUGUUGGGUUAAGUCCCGCAACGAGCGCAACCCUUAUCCUUUGUUGCCAGCGGUCCGGCCGGGAACUCAAAGGAGACUGCCAGUGAUAAACUGGAGGAAGGUGGGGAUGACGUCAAGUCAUCAUGGCCCUUACGACCAGGGCUACACACGUGCUACAAUGGCGCAUACAAAGAGAAGCGACCUCGCGAGAGCAAGCGGACCUCAUAAAGUGCGUCGUAGUCCGGAUUGGAGUCUGCAACUCGACUCCAUGAAGUCGGAAUCGCUAGUAAUCGUGGAUCAGAAUGCCACGGUGAAUACGUUCCCGGGCCUUGUACACACCGCCCGUCACACCAUGGGAGUGGGUUGCAAAAGAAGUAGGUAGCUUAACCUUCGGGAGGGCGCUUACCACUUUGUGAUUCAUGACUGGGGUGAAGUCGUAACAAGGUAACCGUAGGGGAACCUGCGGUUGGAUCACCUCCUUACCUUAAAGAAGC
Molecule: ribosomal RNA, 727 nt
Filed under: Shigella flexneri
Lineage: Bacteria; Pseudomonadati; Pseudomonadota; Gammaproteobacteria; Enterobacterales; Enterobacteriaceae
Description: bacterial SSU rRNA
Rfam family: Bacterial small subunit ribosomal RNA
Source: RNAcentral